CGGAUUGGUGGGAGCGGGGACGGCUGAGUAGCGUAGGAACGUACCCCAAGUGAGGGAUAAGCACCAGAAAUGGUGUCGUAAUACCGCAUGUGCUCUAAGGAGUAAGGCUUCGGGCUUUGGGAACGGCCUGCGUUUGAUUAGCUUGUUGGUGAGGUAAUGGCUCACCAAGGCGACGAUCAAUAGCUGGUCUGAGAGGAUGAUCAGCCAGACUGGGACCUGAGAACACGGUCCCAGAACUUCCAUACGGGGAAGGCAGCGGUCAGGGAAUUUUCCACAAUGGGCGAAAGCCUGAUGGAGCAACGCCGCGUGCAGGAUGAAUGCCUUAGGGUUGUAAACUGGCUUUUAUAUGUGACGAUAAUGACCGGUAGCAUAUGAAUAAGGAUCGGCUAACUCCGUGCCAGCAGCCGCGGUCAUACGGAGGAUCCGAGCGUUAUCCGGAAUUACUGGGCGUAAAGAGUUGCGUAGGUGGCAGAGUAAGCAAGCCAGUGAAAUCGUGUGGUCAACCAUACACCCAUUGCUUGAACUGGCUCAGCUAGAGGAUGAGAGAGGUUAUUGGAAUUCCCAGUGUAGGAGUGAAAUCCG
This 582-nucleotide ribosomal RNA is filed under the name uncultured bacterium. Its description in RNAcentral is "bacterial SSU rRNA". It matches the Rfam family "Bacterial small subunit ribosomal RNA", at positions 83 to 690 of the family's 1533-position model. The record is from RNAcentral.